RNAcentral lists this long non-coding RNA (329 nucleotides) under Setaria italica (foxtail millet). Its description in RNAcentral is "long non-coding RNA (SITA_LNC000049)". Lineage: Eukaryota; Viridiplantae; Streptophyta; Magnoliopsida; Poales; Poaceae. The record is from RNAcentral.
UUCCUCAAGAGCAUGAACAGGAUGAACUCCGCCUCCUCCUGAUCACUCCACCACCAGCAGCAGCUAAAUUAACCGCGAGCCGUGCGAUGGAUGCGAGAUGAUCAGAGUGCUCAAGUAAUCAUGCUGAUGUGGCAGGCCUAUUAUUCACCUGUGCCGGGGGUAUUUCAGUAAUCUAAUAUUCACCUGUGAGAGUAUAUGCUGUAUCUCUGUUCUGUGAGUGUGUGUGACAGUGUGAGUGGAUGGGGAUGAAAAGGGUUUGAUCAGAUGGUUAUGGAUGCACCACGGGACUAUGGUUUGCUUCGAACUCUAGUUUAGUUGGUCACCCCGUG